RNAcentral lists this ribosomal RNA (377 nucleotides) under uncultured soil bacterium. Its description in RNAcentral is "bacterial SSU rRNA". It matches the Rfam family "Bacterial small subunit ribosomal RNA", at positions 1105 to 1482 of the family's 1533-position model. The record is from RNAcentral.
CUGCCAUUAGUUGCCAUCAUUAAGUUGGGCACUCUAGUGGGACUGCCGGUGAUAAGCCGGAGGAAGGUGGGGAUGACGUCAAGUCAUCAUGGCCCUUACGGGCUGGGCUACACACGUGCUACAAUGGCGGUGACAGUGGCCAGCCACUCCGCGAGGAGGAGCUAAUCCCAAAAAGCCGUCUCAGUUCGGAUUGUUCUCUGCAACUCGAGAGCAUGAAGUCGGAAUCGCUAGUAAUCGUGGAUCAGCAUGCCACGGUGAAUACGUUCCCGGGCCUUGUACACACCGCCCGUCACACCAUGGGAGUUGGUUUUACCCGAAGACGGUGCGCUAACCAGCAAUGGAGGCAGCCGGCCACGGUAGGGUCAGCGACUGGGGUG